GGCGACCGUCCCUCAGACACCCCCCCCCCACUUACCUGCAGUCCUGGACCGUCACCCCUGGCCCAGGGUCUGUGGGAGGGGAGAGGGGCAGGCGGUGGGGCUGGCCAGUGCCUAAAGCCCCAGGGAGGGGUCCUGGGGCUGCGCAGACACAGGCGCGGGCUCAGGUCACGGAUCAUACGCGGAGCUGAGACGGGGAUGAUGCAGCUCUGGCUUCUGGGGGCAGCUGGGGGCAGCGGGGCUUCGCCACGGGGAGCAGGAGACGGGGCCGCGCUUUGGUCAGAGGCAACACAGGCCGGGGCUCAGCCCGGCCCCCCCCUACCCCCCGCGGUGGGUGGGGGGGUGCUGCGGCCCC
Athene cunicularia (burrowing owl) is the source of this 352-nucleotide long non-coding RNA. RefSeq lists it as uncharacterized. Lineage: Eukaryota; Metazoa; Chordata; Aves; Strigiformes; Strigidae. The record is from RefSeq and is a predicted model, not a curated record. The transcript has 3 exons.